GAUGAACGCUGGCGGCGUGCCUAAUACAUGCAAGUCGAGCGAACAGACGAGUAGCUUGCUCCUCUGACGUUAGCGGCGGACGUGUCACUUACACGUCGUUCACCCACCUAUAAGACUGGGAUAACUUCGUGAAACCAGAGCUAAUACCGUAUAAUAUCUUCAUCCGCAUGGUUCAAUAGUUCAAGACGGUUUUGCUGUCACUUCUAGCUGGAUCCGCGCGGCAUUAGCUAGUUGGUAAGGUAACGGCUUCCCAAGGCGACAGUGCGUAGCCGACCUGAGAGGGUGAUCGCGGACACUGGAGCUGAGACGCGGUACAGACACCGACGGGAGGCAGAAAUAGGGAAGCUUCCGAAAUGGGCGAAAGACUGAAGGAGCAGCGCAGCGUGGGUGAUGAAGGGCUGCGGAUCGUAAGACUGUGUUAUGAGGGAAGAACGAAUGUGGAAGGAACUAUGCACGUCGUGACGGUACCUGAACAGAAAGCAACGGCUAACUACGUG
RNAcentral lists this ribosomal RNA (497 nucleotides) under uncultured bacterium. RNAcentral's name for it is "partial 16S ribosomal RNA". It matches the Rfam family "Bacterial small subunit ribosomal RNA", at positions 28 to 507 of the family's 1533-position model. The record is from RNAcentral.